GGGGGUAUAGCUCAGUUGGGAGAGCACCUGCCUUGCACGCAGGGGGUCAGCGGUUCGAGCCCGCUUACCUCCACCA
This 76-nucleotide transfer RNA is filed under the name Deltaproteobacteria bacterium CG_4_10_14_0_8_um_filter_43_12. RNAcentral's name for it is "tRNA-Ala". It matches the Rfam family "tRNA". Rfam says of the family: Transfer RNA (tRNA) molecules are approximately 80 nucleotides in length. RNAcentral also lists the same sequence under 7 other names. Lineage: Bacteria; Deltaproteobacteria. The record is from RNAcentral.